This 209-nucleotide ribosomal RNA is filed under the name uncultured bacterium. RNAcentral's name for it is "partial 16S ribosomal RNA". It matches the Rfam family "Bacterial small subunit ribosomal RNA", at positions 1284 to 1500 of the family's 1533-position model. The record is from RNAcentral.
UCUCUCAGUUCGGAUUGAAGUCUGCAACCCGACUUCAUGAAGCUGGAUUCGCUAGUAAUCGCGCAUCAGCCACGGCGCGGUGAAUACGUUCCCGGGCCUUGUACACACCGCCCGUCAAGCCAUGGGAGCCGGGGGUACCUGAAGUGCGUAACCGCAAGGAGCGCCCUAGGGUAAAACUGGUGACUGGGGCUAAGUCGUAACAAGGUAAC